This 404-nucleotide ribosomal RNA is filed under the name uncultured bacterium. RNAcentral describes it as "bacterial SSU rRNA". It matches the Rfam family "Bacterial small subunit ribosomal RNA", at positions 355 to 775 of the family's 1533-position model. The record is from RNAcentral.
UAAGGGAUCUUCCACAAUGGGCGCAAGCCUGAUGGAGCGACGCCGCGUGCAUGACGAAGCCCUUCGGGGUGUAAAAUGCUUUUCCCAGGGAUGAUACCAGACAGUACCUGGGGAAGAAGCUUCGGCUAACUACGUGCCAGCAGCCGCGGUAAUACGUAGGAAGCAAGCGUUGUCCGGAAUCACUGGGCGUAAAGCGCGUGUAGGCGGUGCGGGAAGUCUGCUGUGAAAGCGCCUGGCUCAACCGGGCGAGGUCGGUGGAAACUCCUGCACUCGAGGUCAGUAGAGGCGGAUGGAAUUCCCGGUGUAGUGGUGAAAUGCGUAGAGAUCGGGAGGAACACCUGAGGCGAAGGCGGUCCGCUGGGCUGCACCUGACGCUGAGACGCGAAGGCGCGGGGAGCGAACGG